This 810-nucleotide ribosomal RNA is filed under the name fungal sp. BG52. RNAcentral's name for it is "eukaryotic LSU rRNA". It matches the Rfam family "Eukaryotic large subunit ribosomal RNA", at positions 87 to 929 of the family's 3401-position model. Lineage: Eukaryota; Fungi. The record is from RNAcentral.
CGGCGAGUGAAGCGGCAACAGCUCAAAUUUGAAAUCUGGCCCUUGUGGUCCGAGUUGUAAUUUGUAGAGGAUGAUUUUGGCGCGGUGCCUUCCGAGUUCCCUGGAACGGGACGCCUUAGAGGGUGAGAGCCCCGUACGGUUGGACACCAAGCCUCUGUAAAUCUCCUUCGACGAGUCGAGUAGUUUGGGAAUGCUGCUCUAAAUGGGAGGUAAAUUUCUUCUAAAGCUAAAUACCGGCCAGAGACCGAUAGCGCACAAGUAGAGUGAUCGAAAGAUGAAAAGCACUUUGAAAAGAGGGUUAAAUAGCACGUGAAAUUGUUGAAAGGGAAGCGUUUGCGACCAGACCUUUUCCUAGCGGAUCAUCCGGUGUUUUCACCGGUGCACUUCGCUAGGUUUAGGCCAGCAUCGGUUUCUGUGGGGGGAUAAAAGCUCUGGGAACGUGGCUCCUUCGGGAGUGUUAUAGCCCUCUGCAUAAUACCCUCACGGGGACCGAGGACCGCGCAAGGAUGCUGGCAUAAUGGUCGUCAACGACCCGUCUUGAAACACGGACCAAGGAGUCGAACAUUUGUGCGAGUGUUUGGGUGUUAAACCCUCACGCGUAAUGAAAGUGAACGGAGGUGAGAGCCCUUACGGGUGCAUCAUCGACCGAUCCUGAUGUCUUCGGAUGGAUUUGAGUAAGAGCAUAACUGUUCGGACCCGAAAGAUGGUGAACUAUGCGUGGAUAGGGUGAAGCCAGAGGAAACUCUGGUGGAGGCUCGCAGCGGUUCUGACGUGCAAAUCGAUCGUCAAAUCUGCGCAUGGGGGCGAAAG